GCGCCGCCGCGUGGGGGAGAGCGGCCGCCGGCACAGCGCAGCGCAGCUCGCAAUCAUGUAGCAGGAGAGGCAGGAAGACGCUCGGAUAUUAACUGGUGCUUGCUGGGUGAUGGUUACUUAUGGGAGAGCCGGUGGCCGCUUUCCUCUGCAGGGCGAUUCGCAUUAAAGCACGGCGCCAACAUUAAAGGAAAAAGGAUGAAUGGCGCGAGGGGGGAGGAGAGCGUCGCCCACUUAUCAAAGCUGCUCCGUGCUCGGGGAUGGGCAGCAGAUCAAAACGCACAGCGUGGCUGACACCGGGGCACUCUGACAUCGCUUUGGACUCCUUUCACUGUUUGCCUUCCCGUGCAACGCUGCUGUGUCAGCUUGGCUUGAGCCGGCCUCCGUUUGCACCGCGGCGGUUGAGCGGUGCCACCUUGUGCCUCAGUUUCCCCAUCGGUGAGGUGAGGAUUGAGCAGAGCCUCCGCUGCAGCGUUCAGCAUCACGGCUCUCUGGGGGUGAUGCACCCCUCCCCGUGUUCCAUCCAGCCUCUGCGGGUGGGUCCAGCCCUCAGCAUCACUCAUACCUCUGUUUCCUUUAGUUCUUUGCCAGUGUUAGUUAAUUAAACUAUGCAAAUUAAAACAACUUAAUUUAUAUAAUAUCAGUGCCGGAGCCUCAAACCAUUUGGUGUAGCUCAUCUGGCACGUACGUUACAUAAAAUGUUUGGAGCGGCUCUAAUAAAAAUGA
Lagopus muta (rock ptarmigan) is the source of this 723-nucleotide long non-coding RNA. RefSeq lists it as uncharacterized. The transcript has 3 exons. Lineage: Eukaryota; Metazoa; Chordata; Aves; Galliformes; Phasianidae. The record is from RefSeq and is a predicted model, not a curated record.